Molecule: ribosomal RNA, 1343 nt
Filed under: uncultured bacterium
Lineage: Bacteria
Description: 16S ribosomal RNA
Rfam family: Bacterial small subunit ribosomal RNA
Source: RNAcentral
GACGAACGCUGGCGGCGUGCUUAACACAUGCAAGUCGAACGGAAAGGCCCUGCUUUUGUGGGGUGCUCGAGUGGCGAACGGGUGAGUAACACGUGAGUAACCUGCCCUUGACUUUGGGAUAACUUCAGAAAACUGGGGCUAAUACCGGAUAGGAGCUCCUGCUGCAUGGUGGGGGUUGGAAAGUUUCGGCGGUUGGGGAUGGACUCGCGGCUUAUCAGCUUGUUGGUGGGGUAGUGGCUUACCAAGGCUUUGACGGGUAGCCGGCCUGAGAGGGUGACCGGCCACAUUGGGACUGAGAUACGGCCCAGACUCCUACGGGAGGCAGCAGUGGGGAAUAUUGCACAAUGGGCGGAAGCCUGAUGCAGCAACGCCGCGUGCGGGAUGACGGCCUUCGGGUUGUAAACCGCUUUCGCCUGUGACGAAGCGUGAGUGACGGUAAUGGGUAAAGAAGCACCGGCUAACUACGUGCCAGCAGCCGCGGUGAUACGUAGGGUGCGAGCGUUGUCCGGAUUUAUUGGGCGUAAAGGGCUCGUAGGUGGUUGAUCGCGUCGGAAGUGUAAUCUUGGGGCUUAACCCUGAGCGUGCUUUCGAUACGGGUUGACUUGAGGAAGGUAGGGGAGAAUGGAAUUCCUGGUGGAGCGGUGGAAUGCGCAGAUAUCAGGAGGAACACCAGUGGCGAAGGCGGUUCUCUGGGCCUUUCCUGACGCUGAGGAGCGAAAGCGUGGGGAGCGAACAGGCUUAGAUACCCUGGUAGUCCACGCUGUAAACGGUGGGUACUAGGUGUGGGGUCCAUUCCACGGGUUCCGUGCCGUAGCUAACGCUUUAAGUACCCCGCCUGGGGAGUACGGCCGCAAGGCUAAAACUCAAAGGAAUUGACGGGGCCCCGCACAAGCGGCGGAGCAUGCGGAUUAAUUCGAUGCAACGCGUAGAACCUUACCUGGGUUUGACAUGGAUCGGGAGCGCUCAGAGAUGGGUGUGCCUCUUUUGGGGUCGGUUCACAGGUGGUGCAUGGCUGUCGUCAGCUCGUGUCGUGAGAUGUUGGGUUAAGUCCCGCAACGAGCGCAACCCUUGUUCACUGUUGCCAGCACGUUAUGGUGGGGACUCAGUGGAGACCGCCGGGGUCAACUCGGAGGAAGGUGGGGAUGACGUCAAGUCAUCAUGCCCCUUAUGUCCAGGGCUUCACGCAUGCUACAAUGGCUGGUACAGAGAGUGGCGAGCCUGUGAGGGUGAGCGAAUCUCGGAAAGCCGGUCUCAGUUCGGAUUGGGGUCUGCAACUCGACCUCAUGAAGUCGGAGUCGCUAGUAAUCGCAGAUCAGCAACGCUGCGGUGAAUACGUUCCCGGG